RNAcentral lists this ribosomal RNA (492 nucleotides) under uncultured bacterium. RNAcentral's name for it is "partial 16S ribosomal RNA". It matches the Rfam family "Bacterial small subunit ribosomal RNA", at positions 29 to 507 of the family's 1533-position model. The record is from RNAcentral.
AGUGAACGCUGGCGGUAUGCCUAACACAUGCAAGUCGAACGGCAGCACAGUAAGAGCUUGCUCUUACGGGUGGCGAGUGGCGGACGGGUGAGGAAUACAUCGGAAUCUACUUUUUCGUGGGGGAUAACGUAGGGGAACUUACGCUAAUACCGCAUACGACCUACGGGUGAAAGCAGGGGAUCUUUGGACCUUGCGCGAUUGAAUGAGCCGAUGUCGGAUUAGCUAGUUGGCGGGGUAAAGGCCCACCAAGGCGACGCUCCGUAGCUGGUCUGAGAGGAUGAUCAGCCACACUGGAACUGAGACACGGUCCAGACUCCUACAGGAGGCAGCAGUGGGGAAUAUUGGACAAUGGGCGCAAGCCUGAUCCAGCCAUACCGCGUGGGUGAAGAAGGCCUUCGGGUUGUAAAGCCCUUUUGUUGGGAAAGAAAAGCAGCAGGUUAAUACCCCGCUGUUCUGACGGUACCCAAAGAAUAAGCACCGGCUAACUUCGUG